AUUCUGGCUCAGGACGAACGCUGGCGGCGUGCCUAAUACAUGCAAGUCGAACGGUCUUUUCUAUGGAAGCUUGCUUCCACUGAAAAGAUAGUGGCGAACGGGUGAGUAACACGUGGGUAACCUGCCCAUAAGAGGGGGGAUAACAUCCGGAAACGGGUGCUAAUACCGCAUAGUUUUCUUGAUCGCAUGAUCGGGAAAGGAAAGACGGCCUUUGUGCUGUCGCUUAUGGAUGGACCCGCGGCGUAUUAGUUAGUUGGUGAGGUAACGGCUCACCAAGACGAUGAUACGUAGCCGACCUGAGAGGGUGAUCGGCCACAUUGGGACUGAGACACGGCCCAAACUCCUACGGGAGGCAGCAGUAGGGAAUCUUCCGCAAUGGACGAAAGUCUGACGGAGCAACGCCGCGUGAGUGAAGAAAGGUUUUCGGAUCGUAAAACUCUGUUGUCAGAGAAGAACAAGUUGGAGAGUAACUGCUCCAGCCUUGACGGUAUCUGACCAGAAAGCCACGGCUAACUACGUGCCAGCCGCUGC
Molecule: ribosomal RNA, 531 nt
Filed under: uncultured bacterium
Lineage: Bacteria
Description: bacterial SSU rRNA
Rfam family: Bacterial small subunit ribosomal RNA
Source: RNAcentral